RNA transcript from Carya illinoinensis, 2236 nucleotides. It is a transcript of the gene named probable WRKY transcription factor 21, with no coding region annotated. The transcript is spliced from 4 exons. The record is from RefSeq and is a predicted model, not a curated record. NCBI's taxonomy places the organism in Eukaryota, Viridiplantae, Streptophyta, Magnoliopsida, Fagales, Juglandaceae.
UCUGCAGGGAUUCUUUAUUUAAAUGCCUAACUUUCUCUCUCUACGUCUCCUCCCUCUCUUGAGUUCUUUGUGUUUUUCCUUCUUUCUCUAAAAAAAAUUAUAAAAUAUUGUUGAGGAGAAAGUGGAGGCCUUUGUAUUAUUUUGGCGCUGUGAAUUCUCAAGCGAAGCAAAAGUCUUCCUCUUCUCCUUCACACCUUUCAAUCUCAAAACCACCGAAGAAGAAUCUAGGGUUUGGCUGCACUAAUUCCAACGAGGUCUGUCCUUUGGUGCUAUUCCUGCUUUUUCAUUCUAGCUUUGAUCAUUUUCCUCUGUGAAAAUAGCUGUAUAUGGUUUCAUCUCUAUUUGGGGUUUUCUCUUUUUCAAUCAAUCUUCACUGACCCGGUUUUUAGUGUUCUCCUGGUCUUCUUUGUUUCGGAAAACUGAGCCUUUGCUAUGGUGAAAUUCCUGAAUUUUCAAUGAAAAUCUCUAGCUUGGGCGUUUUUUCAAGUUCGGUGAAAAUGGGAUUUUGACUUGGGUUUUUGUUUUGUCCGUUAUAGACGGCUGAAUAUCUGUUGUUAGAGAGUAGUUAUCUUAUAUCUCGGGGUCUUUUAUGGUAUACGUUAGUUAGGUUUUUGGUGUUCGGGUCUUUAGGUCUUUUCUUUCUUUCUUUCUUCGUUCCUUUUUUUUUUUCUUUGGUUGGGGCUUAGUAUGGAGGAGGUUGAAGGAGCUAAUAAAGCAGCCGUGGAGAGCUGCCAUAGAGUUCUGAGCCUUUUGUCUCAGCCUCAAGAUCAGGUUCAGUGUAGGAAUUUAAUGGUAGAAACUGGGGAGGCUGUGUUCAGGUUCAAGAAAGUCGUUUCUCUUCUAAAUACAGGCUUGGGCCAUGCAAGAGUAAGAAAGCUCAAGAAACUCCAAAUCUCUUUUCCCCAAAACAUACUCUUAGAGAACCCCACUUGUAGAACAGAUCAGCAGUCCAAAAAUCUUCAAUAUCUAAAGUCUGGCUUUCCUGGAAGCCCUAUUCAAGAAAUUGGCUCAAACGUGAGUAGUCUGUGUUUGGGAACCCCAUCUUUGGAAUUGAGCUCAAAUGGGAAAAGCCCUCUCCUACUUUCCCAAAAAACACCAUCAACGCACUAUCACAUCCUUCAACAACAACAACACCAGCAGAGGUUAUUGCUUCAGCAGCAACAGGCGAAACACCAAGCCGAGAUGAUGUAUGGCAGGAGCAAUAGUGGCAUAAACCUGAAUUUUGAUAGCUCUAGUUGUACUCCCACAAUGUCAUCCACUAGGUCUUUUGUUUCCUCCUUGAGUAUAGAUGGGAGUGUAGCUAACUUGGACGCAAGUGCUUUCCAUUUAAUUGGGGCACCUCACUCUUCAGAUCAGAAUUCACAGCAGCAUAAGAGGAAGUGUUCUGCCCGGGGAGACGAUGGGAGUGUGAAGUGUGGGAGCAGUGGUAGAUGUCACUGCUCAAAGAAGAGGAAACAUAGGGUGAAGAGAUUGAUCAAGGUACCUGCAAUCAGUAAUAAGCUUGCAGAUAUACCUCCUGAUGAUUACUCAUGGAGGAAAUAUGGGCAGAAGCCAAUCAAGGGUUCUCCUCAUCCUAGGGGAUACUACAAAUGUAGCAGCAUGAGAGGUUGUCCUGCGAGGAAGCAUGUUGAGAGGUGCUUAGAAGAGCCUUCCAUGCUAAUUGUUACCUAUGAAGGCGAGCAUAACCACCCCAGGUUGCCAUCACAGUCUACAAACACAUGAACUGCAUGGAGAGAUAUUUACCUAGGCCAAGCCCUUCUAUUUACUUUACGAAAAUCUAAUGUAUUGGUUGGCUUGGGAUGCUGCUGUACAUAUUUUGCAUUGCUUGACCAUGGAUAUAUUUACUGGAGCAGUUUCUUGGCUCUGAAGGGUUGGCUCGGAGCCUUUAUGUGGCAAAUGGGCAUGAGGCCCCGCACUUAACUGAAGAAUUAUUUACUGUCGGGGGUUUCAAAUUAUUUGAGAAGUCAAGAACGAGGCAUGUGAAUUGCAAGGGGACCAGAAUGGGUAGGCAUGCUUCACAUUUUAUGGUAAUAUUCUUCCCUCUGGCAUCCAUAUUAUAUAUUAUUGGGGACCAGUUGCAUCUAUCUCCAAAUCAUGGGAAGUGGUCACUGGCCGCCCUAUCUCAUGUACCGGUUUGCAGACAACCUAUUGUAUGUUCUCUUUCUAGGAGAAAAGACGUAUUUAAUGGGGGAAAAUAAAUAAAUUAUUUAAUUCCUUGAAAUCUUUUUUGGUUCUA